Molecule: transfer RNA, 76 nt
Filed under: Actinomadura madurae
Lineage: Bacteria; Bacillati; Actinomycetota; Actinomycetes; Streptosporangiales; Thermomonosporaceae
Also listed under: 8 other names
Description: tRNA_Arg_ACG
Rfam family: tRNA
About the family: Transfer RNA (tRNA) molecules are approximately 80 nucleotides in length. Their secondary structure includes four short double-helical elements and three loops (D, anti-codon, and T loops).
Source: RNAcentral
GCACCCGUAGCUCAACGGAUAGAGCAUCUGACUACGGAUCAGAAGGUUAGGGGUUCGAAUCCCUUCGGGUGCGCCC